ACUCCUGCGGGAGGCAGCAGUGGGGAAUAUUGGACAAUGGGCGCAAGCCUGAUCCAGCCAUGCCGCGUGAGUGAUGAAGGCCCUAGGGUUGUAAAGCUCUUUCACCGGUGAAGAUAAUGACGGUAACCGGAGAAGAAGCCCCGGCUAACUUCGUGCCAGCAGCCGCGGUAAUACGAAGGGGGCUAGCGUUGUUCGGAUUUACUGGGCGUAAAGCGCACGUAGGCGGACUAUUAAGUCAGGGGUGAAAUCCCGGGGCUCAACCCCGGAACUGCCUUUGAUACUGGUAGUCUUGAGUGCGAGAGAGGUGAGUGGAAUUCCGAGUGUAGAGGUGAAAUUCGUAGAUAUUCGGAGGAACACCAGUGGCGAAGGCGGCUCACUGGCUCGAUACUGACGCUGAGGUGCGAAAGCGUGGGGAGCAAACAGGAUUAGAAACCCCAGUAGUCCCAUGA
RNAcentral lists this ribosomal RNA (449 nucleotides) under uncultured organism. RNAcentral describes it as "partial 16S ribosomal RNA". It matches the Rfam family "Bacterial small subunit ribosomal RNA", at positions 335 to 800 of the family's 1533-position model. The record is from RNAcentral.